ACGAAGACGUGAACCUGCACAGACAAUUUUCUGUCAUAGGCUUUAGUAUCCAUUACGAACUUCAAAUACCAAAUUUAAAAUAUUUCCGGUGAAUAAUGUCGCCUAAAUCACCAAAAUACCCAAUAUCGGGAGGUACCAUUAUAUGGGGCUAUACGAAGACGCGGACCUGCACAGACAAUUUUCUGUCAUAGGCUUUAGUAUCCAUUAAGAACUUCAAAUACCAAAUUUGAAACAAUUCAGGUGAAUAGUGUCGUUAAAAUCAUCCAAAUACCGAAUAUCGGAAGCUACCGUUAUAUGAGGGCUAUACGAAGACGUGAAUCUGCACAGACAAUUUUCUGUCAAAGGCUGUAGUAUCCAUUACGAACUUCAAAUACCAAAUUUGAAACUAUUCCGGUGAAUAAUGUCGCUAAAAUCAUCAAAAUACCGAAUAUCGGGAGUUACCGUUAUAUGGGAGCUAUACCGAAACGUAGACCUACAUGGCUCAUUUUCUGUCAUAGGCUGUAGUAUCCAUUACGAACUUCAAAUACCAAAUUUGAAACAUUUUCUUUUCAUUGUUUUGACCACAUGCCCUGCAAUAGCUUUUUUGUACUCACGAUCCUCACGAUCUCGGCUUGUGUUAAUGGAUUGUGGUUUUUCAGAAUUUCACAACAAAAACCGCAAAGUUGUGUCGUAAACAAUGGCAAAUUGAAACCUUCCUUCAAUCGUUUCGAUUUGUGUGAUUCCCCCGAAUUGUUUUUAUUUUGCCUUAAAUUAAAUGGUUGUGUGCGCCUUAAUUGAUUAGUUCGUCUACAACUUGUGGCGAAAAAAGUACGACAAUGAAGUUAUUCAAUUUAUAUUUUCUAGUGUUUCUAUUAUUGAACCUCUUGAUUACCAUGACCCAAGCCGAUGUAGUUACAGCGUCAAAGAAUAACUGCUGUAAAUUUAGUUGUGGAGAUAAUUGUAAAGUUUAAGCAACAACAACAACAACAAACCACAUUAAAAAAACAACAUUUGCGGACUUGGAAUUCGUCCACACAACGUCGAGGAGAAACUACUGAAACAUUAUUUUUGCUGCAGAAAUGUGAAAUUUGGAAAUUUGCCUCCAAAAGAAGAAUACAGGCAAUCGCAUCGACACAGCUGCUGGGACAAUGAACUGUCAAGCCGAAUUUGGAAUUGAAAAUGUCGAAUGAAAAAUUAUUGAAAUUUAUUAAAAUUUUUUGAAAAAUACAUAUCAUAACCGUGCAA
Molecule: long non-coding RNA, 1224 nt
Organism: Musca domestica (house fly)
Lineage: Eukaryota; Metazoa; Arthropoda; Insecta; Diptera; Muscidae
Exons: 2
Source: RefSeq, a predicted model, not a curated record